AUGGGGCCUCCGAGAGCCGCCAUUCCCAUCACCGUCCCCGGAAGCCGACCUACUAACGGCUGGCCCGCCCCUGGCGCAUGCUCAAUGGAGCCCAACGGCCGCCGGCUCGAGGUGCCUAACCGUCCCGCUGUUGUGCGCCCACUCCUCCCGCUGCACCGCACCCCGCAGCUUCCCUUUCGGCGAACCCACAGCCCCGCACCGCGGCCCCGGCCUCGGGACCCGCCACUUACCUGCCGCCCGGUUCGCCUCCGCGAGCUGCAAAGAGAGCCACCCGUCCGGUUCUACGCCGCGACCCUGGACGCGCGCUACAGUGCUUCCUGCCUGGAGCCCAACUCGAGUCUCGCUCACUGGAUAGCUGGCUUAUCACUCAACAGAGGAAGGGAUGAUGAUCGCAACCUGUACAAAGACCCUAUGGCUGGCAGCAAUAUGAAAAGACCAGAGUGGCUGGACAGACUACCUUGAAGGCCAAAUGAGGCUGAGAAACCUCUUCUACGGCUGCUUCAAAGGCAAGCCCAGACUCUCCAGCACGGAGAAGCAGAACACAGUGAUAGGUAACAUAUCUGAGGCCCAGAGUAGGCUGGAGAUCGGCCAGGGAUGCCUCAGGGAUCUGGUGGGACUUUUAUCAUUGCUAUGUGGAGAUUUUACAAUACAUUCUUUGUCUGUCCCUUUUAAAGCCUAGAGUACAGCUCUGUUCCCAGUCCACCCAAAUCCCUAGCAGAUUGUGAUAAAGACUCACUGAGUAAAUGAAUGCCGGAAGGUUAAGGAGACUCUGGCUGGAUUCCCAAGCCUCAUCCCCAGAGGCUGCUCAGAACCUGGCAAGCAGGGCUCUGGGCAAAGCUUUCUCCUGCCAACUCCCUCCGUGCCCUCCUCAUCUGUAAGAUGGGUGGGUUCCUUGCCUGAUAUGCAAGGGACCAUGAACAUCCUGGCUUUAUUAUGAAAGCAAGGGGCGUCUCUCUUUUGUCAAUCUGCAAAAAGGAAGUUAGAUGACUAGUGUGGCAAGCUAUUUAACUCACUCCACCAACAUUUGAGCUAUAAUGAGGGUGUCAACUUGCUGAAGCAGCGAGUGGUGAGUGACCAAGGGCGGCAGGUGACACAGGACCUGGUGGGCUCCUCCUGGAAAUGUCUAGACUUUAGGCCCCGUUGGUAUGCGGUUUGGGGAAGAGACUGUAAGGAGGAGGAGGCUGGGGGACAAGGAAGUAAGCCUCUACUGUAGUCUUGAGAGUUCAGUGAUGGAGUGUUGGGCCUGUUCAGGGCUUAGGAAGGUGAGUUUGGGUGCCCCCCCCAAAUGAUAGGGUGCAGAAGAAAAGCGAUCCUGUAAGUCACUCACUGGCCACCACACAUUUGGCUUGGCAUGUGUGGUACAUGCACGUGAACACACUCAAUAAAUGGUAUAAAGAUUAAAAUAGGAGUUGAAGA
This 1416-nucleotide long non-coding RNA is filed under the name Mus spicilegus (steppe mouse). Its description in RNAcentral is "lncRNA (ENSMSIG00000011830.1)". The record is from RNAcentral. Lineage: Eukaryota; Metazoa; Chordata; Mammalia; Rodentia; Muridae.